GGCCUGGUGGUCUAGUAGUAUGAUUCCUUCUUAGGGUGGCAUGCCAACAGUUGGAGGAGGUCCCGGGUUCAAUUCCCGGCCAGGCCC
Steccherinum ochraceum is the source of this 87-nucleotide non-coding RNA. Lineage: Eukaryota; Fungi; Basidiomycota; Agaricomycetes; Polyporales; Steccherinaceae. The record is from the annotation of a GenBank genome assembly.